Molecule: RNA transcript, 1784 nt
Organism: Solanum lycopersicum (tomato)
Lineage: Eukaryota; Viridiplantae; Streptophyta; Magnoliopsida; Solanales; Solanaceae
Source: RefSeq, a predicted model, not a curated record
AAUUUUUUCACAUUCGUGUUACCAUAGUACCAGUAGUACAUUAUCCAUUGAUUGACGCCAUUGUAGGGGCAGUAACGAAGCUCAAUUAGACCUCACAGAGACGAUGGUGGUCGGAGGAGCUGUAGCAGAUUGCCUCUCUAAAUGUGGAAGUUCGUUCGCUGCUAGGUCUUCUUCAUCAUCAUUUUGUGGAAUUGGUUUGAGGCUGAAUCUGAAUUCGAAUAUAAAUAGGACAAUUAGACCUCGCCAAGCUUUUGUUGGAUUGUGUGUUGCUAGUUUGAUUACGGAUUCCGAUUCGUUCGAAGUUGGGAGGCUUAUCGGUAGCUAUGGCUUCAUGAACGUCACAAGUUACUCGGGGCUUCAAUCCGGAAUGGCGAUGGAUUAUGCAGUAUCAGAAGAUAUAGGGAACUUUAAAGUACAAGAUAUUGGAGAAGGAAGUGUCAAGAUCAGGCUUUAUGAAGGAAGAGUGGCCCAAGGUCCACUUAGAGGAACUCGGGUUAUUUUUAAGGUAUAUCCUGGACAACAAGUUGGUGGAACUGAGGCUGACAUGAUGGCUGCGAAUGAGCUGAAUGCUCAUGCUUCCCUUCAAAGCAACCCCAAAGAUAUCUGCCCACAUAUUCAAGCACUUCUAGGAGGAUUUGAAACAAAAACAGGGGAGCAGUGGCUUGCUUUUAGGGAUAUUGGAAAAUAUAGUGCUGCAGAUUAUGCUAAAAUUACUAGUGAAAAUAUGUCAAAAAUGAUUGGUGGGGGAGAACAAAGAUUGUGGAACCCGUUUGAGCUGGAUCUGACCAUAAAACGCAGAAGGUAUUUCGUUGUUAGGCUACUUCACGGCACUAUGAGAGGUCUGUCUUAUAUGCAUGACAAUGACAGAUUACACCAAAGUCUUGGUCCUGCAUCUGUUGUCCUAAAUACAGUUGUUGAGAAAGAUGCUGCAUAUCUAAUUCCUCGGCUCCGGGAUCUCGCCUUUUCUGUUGACGUAAGGUAUUCUCAACUUGAAGAUCGUCCUAAUAUCUUGUCAGAAGGACUUUGGAGACGGGCAUCUGUAGCUGGAGCGUCUAGUCCUUUGGAAAGAAGAGCUUUUGGAAUAGCAGAUGAUAUAUAUGAAGCUGGACUGCUUUUUGCUUAUUUAGCCUUUGUUCCAUUUUGUGAAGCAGGAGUCAUGGACAGCAUAUCAUUGCGGAGGCUCCUGGAAAAUACUUUUCAACUUGAUCUUCAAGCUGCAAGGGAGUAAGAGACCUCACUUUGAAUGCAUGAUUUGAAAAAAAACUAAAAUGACCAGAAGUUGGACAGGCUUAAGAUAUUGUUCUGCUGAUGAUCGCCUGCUAGAAGCUGUCAAGUUUCUUGAUCUAGGAGAUGGUGCUGGCUGGGAGUUACUACAGGCAAUGCUAAAUCGUGACUACCGUGGGAGGCCAAUCGCGGAAGCUGUAGUAAACCAUCGAUUCUUGAGUGGUACUUUCGUGUGAGAUCACAUAGAAUUUGAAUUGUACAUAACAUUUGUGUGCUGCUGAUCCAUAUGGAGAUGAGAACCCACAGCACCAAACUACACCAGUUAUCAACCAUGUAUGUUUAACUCUCGAGAUAUUCUAAUGAUCAUAUAAAUUGAGACUAACAAUGUGGUUUUUACUUGAAUAAUGAGGAAGAGGUUGAAUCCAAAUGUUGGAUGUUGGUUGGACUAAGUUGAAACAAUUGGUGCUUGAGUAAUUAAAAGAGUAAUGUCUGUGUUUUGGCAAACAAUAGAAAACUCCUUUGUUAUUGUCACGACAUAUUGGAAAAUAUAUCUUAUUUGC